GACGAACGCUGGCGGCGUGCUUAACACAUGCAAGUCGAACGGAAAGGCCCUGCGUUUGUGGGGUGCUCGAUUGGCGAACGCGGGAGUAACACGUGAGUAACCUGCCCCUGACUUUGGGAUAAUUUCAGGAAACUGGGGCUAUUAUCGCGUAGGAGCUCCUGCUCCAUGGUGGGGGUUGGAAAGUUUCGGCGUUUGGGGAUGGACUCGCGGCUUAUCGGCUUGUUGGUGGGGUAGGGGCUUACCAAGGCUUUGACGGGUAGCCGGCCUGAGAGGGUGGACGGCCACAUUGGGACUGAGAGACGGCGCAGACUCCUACGGGAGGCAGCAGGGGGGAAUAUUGCACAAUGGGCGGAAGUCUGAUGCAGCAACGCCGCGUGCGGGAUGACGGCCUUCGGGUUGUAAACCGCUUUCGCCUGUGACGAAGCGUGAGUGACGGUAAUGGGUAAAGAAGCACCGGCUAACUACGUG
Molecule: ribosomal RNA, 468 nt
Filed under: uncultured bacterium
Lineage: Bacteria
Description: partial 16S ribosomal RNA
Rfam family: Bacterial small subunit ribosomal RNA
Source: RNAcentral